This 331-nucleotide small nuclear RNA is filed under the name Mus spicilegus (steppe mouse). Its description in RNAcentral is "7SK RNA (ENSMSIG00000029552.1)". It matches the Rfam family "7SK RNA". Rfam says of the family: 7SK was discovered as an abundant small nuclear RNA in the mid-70s but a possible function has only recently been suggested. Two independent studies have found that 7SK RNA binds the CDK9/cyclin T complex (known as elongation factor P-TEFb). P-TEFb activates transcription by phosphorylating the C-terminal domain of RNA polymerase II. The record is from Rfam by way of RNAcentral. Lineage: Eukaryota; Metazoa; Chordata; Mammalia; Rodentia; Muridae.
GGAUGUGAGGGCGAUCUGGCUGCGACAUCUGUCACCCCAUUGAUCGCCAGGGUUGAUUCGGCUGAUCUGGCUGGCUAGGCGGGUGUCCCCUUCCUCCCUCACCGCUCCAUGUGCGUCCCUCCCGAAGCUGCGCGCUCGGUCGAAGAGGACGACCUUCCCCGAAUAGAGGAGGACCGGUCUUCGGUCAAGGGUAUACGAGUAGCUGCGCUCCCCUGCUAGAACCUCCAAACAAGCUCUCAAGGUCCAUUGUAGGAGAACGUAGGGUAGUCAAGCUUCCAAGACUCCAGACACAUCCAAAUGAGGCACUGCAUGUGGCAGUCUGCCUUUCUUU